RNAcentral lists this ribosomal RNA (2199 nucleotides) under Escherichia coli. RNAcentral describes it as "partial 23S ribosomal RNA". It matches the Rfam family "Bacterial large subunit ribosomal RNA", at positions 1 to 2215 of the family's 2925-position model. The record is from RNAcentral. Lineage: Bacteria; Pseudomonadati; Pseudomonadota; Gammaproteobacteria; Enterobacterales; Enterobacteriaceae.
GGGUUGUGAGGUUAAGCGACUAAGCGUACACGGUGGAUGCCCUGGCAGUCAGAGGCGAUGAAGGACGUGCUAAUCUGCGAUAAGCGUCGGUAAGGUGAUAUGAACCGUUAUAACCGGCGAUUUCCGAAUGGGGAAACCCAGUGUGUUUCGACACACUAUCAUUAACUGAAUCCAUAGGUUAAUGAGGCGAACCGGGGGAACUGAAACAUCUAAGUACCCCGAGGAAAAGAAAUCAACCGAGAUUCCCCCAGUAGCGGCGAGCGAACGGGGAGCAGCCCAGAGCCUGAAUCAGUGUGUGUGUUAGUGGAAGCGUCUGGAAAGGCGCGCGAUACAGGGUGACAGCCCCGUACACAAAAAUGCACAUACUGUGAGCUCGAUGAGUAGGGCGGGACACGUGGUAUCCUGUCUGAAUAUGGGGGGACCAUCCUCCAAGGCUAAAUACUCCUGACUGACCGAUAGUGAACCAGUACCGUGAGGGAAAGGCGAAAAGAACCCCGGCGAGGGGAGUGAAAAAGAACCUGAAACCGUGUACGUACAAGCAGUGGGAGCACGCUUCGGCGUGUGACUGCGUACCUUUUGUAUAAUGGGUCAGCGACUUAUAUUCUGUAGCAAGGUUAACCGAAUAGGGGAGCCGAAGGGAAACCGAGUCUUAACUGGGCGUUAAGUUGCAGGGUAUAGACCCGAAACCCGGUGAUCUAGCCAUGGGCAGGUUGAAGGUUGGGUAACACUAACUGGAGGACCGAACCGACUAAUGUUGAAAAAUUAGCGGAUGACUUGUGGCUGGGGGUGAAAGGCCAAUCAAACCGGGAGAUAGCUGGUUCUCCCCGAAAGCUAUUUAGGUAGCGCCUCGUGAACUCAUCUUCGGGGGUAGAGCACUGUUUCGGCAAGGGGGUCAUCCCGACUUACCAACCCGAUGCAAACUGCGAAUACCGGAGAAUGUUAUCACGGGAGACACACGGCGGGUGCUAACGUCCGUCGUGAAGAGGGAAACAACCCAGACCGCCAGCUAAGGUCCCAAAGUCAUGGUUAAGUGGGAAACGAUGUGGGAAGGCCCAGACAGCCAGGAUGUUGGCUUAGAAGCAGCCAUCAUUUAAAGAAAGCGUAAUAGCUCACUGGUCGAGUCGGCCUGCGCGGAAGAUGUAACGGGGCUAAACCAUGCACCGAAGCUGCGGCAGCGACACUAUGUGUUGUUGGGUAGGGGAGCGUUCUGUAAGCCUGUGAAGGUGUGCUGUGAGGCAUGCUGGAGGUAUCAGAAGUGCGAAUGCUGACAUAAGUAACGAUAAAGCGGGUGAAAAGCCCGCUCGCCGGAAGACCAAGGGUUCCUGUCCAACGUUAAUCGGGGCAGGGUGAGUCGACCCCUAAGGCGAGGCCGAAAGGCGUAGUCGAUGGGAAACAGGUUAAUAUUCCUGUACUUGGUGUUACUGCGAAGGGGGGACGGAGAAGGCUAUGUUGGCCGGGCGACGGUUGUCCCGGUUUAAGCGUGUAGGCUGGUUUUCCAGGCAAAUCCGGAAAAUCAAGGCUGAGGCGUGAUGACGAGGCACUACGGUGCUGAAGCAACAAAUGCCCUGCUUCCAGGAAAAGCCUCUAAGCAUCAGGUAACAUUAAAUCGUACCCCAAACCGACACAGGUGGUCAGGUAGAGAAUACCAAGGCGCUUGAGAGAACUCGGGUGAAGGAACUAGGCAAAAUGGUGCCGUAACUUCGGGAGAAGGCACGCUGAUAUGUAGGUGAAGUCCCUCGCGGAUGGAGCUGAAAUCAGUCGAAGAUACCAGCUGGCUGCAACUGUUUAUUAAAAACACAGCACUGUGCAAACACGAAAGUGGACGUAUACGGUGUGACGCCUGCCCGGUGCCGGAAGGUUAAUUGAUGGGGUUAGCGGUAACGCGAAGCUCUUGAUCGAAGCCCCGGUAAACGGCGGCCGUAACUAUAACGGUCCUAAGGUAGCGAAAUUCCUUGUCGGGUAAGUUCCGACCUGCACGAAUGGCGUAAUGAUGGCCAGGCUGUCUCCACCCGAGACUCAGUGAAAUUGAACUCGCUGUGAAGAUGCAGUGUACCCGCGGCAAGACGGAAAGACCCCGUGAACCUUUACUAUAGCUUGACACUGAACAUUGAGCCUUGAUGUGUAGGAUAGGUGGGAGGCUUUGAAGUGUGGACGCCAGUCUGCAUGGAGCCGACCUUGAAAUACCACCCUUUAAUGUUU